UACGAGGGGGGCGAGCGUUGUUCGGAAUUAUUGGGCGUAAAGGGCGCGUAGGCGGUGCGGUAAGUCACCUGUGAAAACUCUGGGCUCAACUCAGAGCCUGCAGGCGAAACUGCCGUGCUGGAGUGUGGGAGAGGUGCGUGGAAUUCCCGGUGUAGCGGUGAAAUGCGUAGAUAUCAGGAGGAACACCCGAGGCGAAGGCGGCUCUCUGGGCCCGCCCUGACGCUGAGGCGCGAAAGCGUGGGGAGCGAACGGG
RNAcentral lists this ribosomal RNA (253 nucleotides) under uncultured prokaryote. RNAcentral's name for it is "partial 16S ribosomal RNA". It matches the Rfam family "Bacterial small subunit ribosomal RNA", at positions 524 to 776 of the family's 1533-position model. The record is from RNAcentral.